UAGCAAGGUAUAAACGGGUCUAUACGUUGACUCGAGCCAGCUGGGCAGAAAAUGCAGGUGAAUAUCGAAAGUACCCGGACGAAGAUCAAGCGACGAGAAAGAACCGAACACAUGAAGAAGAAGCUUCCGCACGUUGUUUCGUCGAAUUUUUAAACGACAAACUAACUACAUUAUGUUGUUCUAAACUUUAAAUUAUAAAAUUUUUAAUAAACCCGUACUUUGUAAUGUAUAUGUGCUCUUAAUCACAUGUUUAUUAUCUUA
This 261-nucleotide long non-coding RNA is filed under the name Helianthus annuus (common sunflower). RNAcentral's name for it is "sRNA HanXRQr2_Chr16g0761171". The record is from RNAcentral. Lineage: Eukaryota; Viridiplantae; Streptophyta; Magnoliopsida; Asterales; Asteraceae.